GCUGGGCAUGGUGGCACAUGCCUAUCAUCCCUGUUACUGGGGAGAAUGAAGCUGGUGGAUCACUUGAGCUCAGGAGUUCUGAGUUGCAGGGAGGCUAUGGCCAAUCAGAUGUUCUCAUUCAGUCUGGCACCAAUAUGGCGAGCCUCCUGGAGCAGGGGGCCGCAAGGCUACAUAAGGAGAAGCAAAUCAGUCUAACUUAGAAAAAGAGCAGCUCAAACUUGUGUGCAAAGUGAGGAUGAUCCCAUGUGUGGCUGCUGCCCUUCCAGCCUGGGCAGAAUAGGGAGACCCAGCCUCA
This 295-nucleotide signal recognition particle RNA is filed under the name Phascolarctos cinereus (koala). Its description in RNAcentral is "Metazoan signal recognition particle RNA (ENSPCIG00000018863.2)". It matches the Rfam family "Metazoan signal recognition particle RNA". From Rfam's summary of the family: The signal recognition particle (SRP) is a universally conserved ribonucleoprotein. It is involved in the co-translational targeting of proteins to membranes. Lineage: Eukaryota; Metazoa; Chordata; Mammalia; Diprotodontia; Phascolarctidae. The record is from RNAcentral.